Molecule: long non-coding RNA, 371 nt
Organism: Capsicum annuum
Lineage: Eukaryota; Viridiplantae; Streptophyta; Magnoliopsida; Solanales; Solanaceae
Exons: 2
Source: RefSeq, a predicted model, not a curated record
UCUUCAUUGGCUAUAAAUUGAGAGGACUAGCCUCAGUUUUUAAUCAAUCGAAAAUUUCUGCGCUCCAUCUAUAGUUGCUAACUUUGAGUUCGACGAAGUUAUUGGCAUUUGAGGUACCACUACACCAAUAAUAGGUAUAUCUGUUUUAUCCUGGGAGAAGGCUAACAACAUAUUCUUCUUCUUCUCUGAGGGAUUGUUGCUCAUCAACUCGCAAUGUUCUUUUAAUGACAAGAGACAUCGUACAUUGUCAAUCAGUCAAACUUGUGGGAGCUGGGAUUGUUUGGUGAUUGAAAUUUCAGUUCAUUGACGAACAAAAUUGAUUUAACAUAAUUAAGCAUAUCAUAUAUACAAACAUAUGCUCAUUAAGCAAA